Molecule: ribosomal RNA, 128 nt
Filed under: Campylobacter jejuni
Lineage: Bacteria; Pseudomonadati; Campylobacterota; Epsilonproteobacteria; Campylobacterales; Campylobacteraceae
Source: RNAcentral
GUCCGUGAUUAUACAGAUGUGGAAACGCCUUGCUCCAUCCCGAACCAAGAAGCUAAGCACAUCGUGGGUGAUGAUACUACGCCUUACUGGCAGGGGGAAAGUAGCUCGAAAGUAGCUCAUUGCGGACU